This 492-nucleotide ribosomal RNA is filed under the name uncultured bacterium. RNAcentral's name for it is "partial 16S ribosomal RNA". It matches the Rfam family "Bacterial small subunit ribosomal RNA", at positions 29 to 507 of the family's 1533-position model. The record is from RNAcentral.
AGUGAACGCUGGCGGUAGGCCUAACACAUGCAAGUCGAACGGCAGCACAGUAAGAGCUUGCUCUUACGGGUGGCGAGUGGCGGACGGGUGAGGAAUACAUCGGAAUCUACUUUUUCGUGGGGGAUAACGUAGGGAAACUUACGCUAAUACCGCAUACGACCUACGGGUGAAAGCAGGGGAUCUUCGGACCUUGCGCGAUUGAAUGAGCCGAUGUCGGAUUAGCUAGUUGGCGGGGUAAAGGCCCACCAAGGCGACGAUCCGUAGCUGGUCUGAGAGGAUGAUCGGCCACACGGGAACGGAGACACGGUCCAGACUCCUACGGGAGGCAGCAGUGGGGAAUAUUGGACAAUGGGCGCAAGCCUGAUCCAGCCAUACCGCGUGGGUGAAGAAGGCCUUCGGGUUGUAAAGCCCUUUUGUUGGGAAAGAAAAGCAGCAGGUUAAUACCCCGCUGUUCUGACGGUACCCAAAGAAUAAGCACCGGCUAACUUCGUG